GACGAACGCUGGCGGCGUGCUUAACACAUGCAAGUCGAGCGGUAAGGCCUUUCGGGGUACACGAGCGGCGAACGGGUGAGUAACACGUGGGUGAUCUGCCCUGCACUUCGGGAUAAGCCUGGGAAACUGGGUCUAAUACCGGAUCUGACCUCCUAUCGCAUGGUGGGUGGUGGAAAGAUUUAUCGGUGCAGGAUGGGCGCGCGGCCUAUCAGCUUGUUGGUGGGGUAAUGGCCUACCAAGGCGACGACGGGUAGCCGACCUGAGAGGGUGACCGGCCACACUGGGACUGAGACACGGCCCAGACUCCUACGGGAGGCAGCAGUGGGGAAUAUUGCACAAUGGGCGAAAGCCUGAUGCAGCGACGCCGCGUGAGGGAUGACGGCCUUCGGGUUGUAAACCUCUUUCAGCAGGGACGAAGCGCAAGUGACGGUACCUGCAGAAGAAGCACCGGCUAACUACGUG
RNAcentral lists this ribosomal RNA (462 nucleotides) under uncultured bacterium. Its description in RNAcentral is "partial 16S ribosomal RNA". It matches the Rfam family "Bacterial small subunit ribosomal RNA", at positions 28 to 507 of the family's 1533-position model. The record is from RNAcentral.